GCUCAUGCCUGUAAUCCCAGCACUUUGGGAAGCUGAGGCAGGAGGAUCACAUAAGGCCAGGAGUUUGAGACCAGCUUGGCCAACAUGACAAAACCCCGUCUUUACUAAAAAUACAAAAAUUAGCCAGGUGUGGUGGUGCCUACCUGUAAUCCCAGCUGCUUGGGAGGCUAAGGUGGGAGAAUUGUUUGAACCUGGGAGGUGGAGGUUGCGGUAAGCAGUAAGUUGCAGUUGCACUGCACUCCAGCCUGGGAGACAGAGCCAGACUCCAUCUCAAAAAAAUUAAAAAAAAUAAAUAUUGACAGCCAUUUUUGGAUCAGACUGGGAGACCUGUCCUGCU
RNAcentral lists this long non-coding RNA (337 nucleotides) under Homo sapiens (human). RNAcentral describes it as "HSALNT0358846". Lineage: Eukaryota; Metazoa; Chordata; Mammalia; Primates; Hominidae. The record is from RNAcentral.